Molecule: ribosomal RNA, 501 nt
Filed under: Texoreddellia coahuilensis
Lineage: Eukaryota; Metazoa; Arthropoda; Insecta; Zygentoma; Nicoletiidae
Description: partial large subunit ribosomal RNA
Rfam family: Archaeal large subunit ribosomal RNA
Source: RNAcentral
GGUUUUUUGGUUAGGAAUUUAAGGUUUGACCUGCCCAAUGAUUAAUUUAAUGGCCGCGGUAUUGUGACCGUGCAAAGGUAGCAUAAUCAUUAGUCUUUUAAUUGAGGGCUUGUAUGAAUGGUUGGACGAGGAGGGGACUGUCUUCAAAUGAAGUUUUGUUAUUUGAAUUUUACCUUUAAGUGAAAAGGCUUAAAUGGUCUUGAGGGGCGAUAAGACCCUAUAGAUCUUUACAUUGUUGUUGUAUUAAAGUGUAAUGAGAUACAAUGUUAGGUUGGGGCGACAGGAAGAAAAGGAUAACUUUUUGGGUAUGGGGUUACUAUUUUGUAUAUUGAAGAUCCACGAUUAUAGUGAUUAUGAGACUAAGUUACCUUAGGGAUAACAGCGUAAUCUUUUUUGAGAGUUCAUAUCGAGAGAAGGGAUUGCGACCUCGAUGUUGGAUUAAGGUUUCCUUGUGGUGUAGAAGUUGCAGGGGAGGGUCUGUUCGACCUUUAAAUCCUUACA